GACGAACGCUGGCGGCGUGCUUAACACAUGCAAGUCGAGCGGUAAGGCCCUUUCGGGGGUACACGAGCGGCGAACGGGUGAGUAACACGUGGGUGACCUGCCCUCAGCUCUGGGAUAAGCCUGGGAAACCGGGUCUAAUACUGGAUAUGACUCCAUGACGCAUGUUGUGGGGUGGAAAGCCUUGUGCGGCUGAGGAUGGGCCCGCGGCCUAUCAGCUUGUUGGUGGGGUGAGGCCUACCAAGGCGACGACGGGUAGCCGGCCUGAGAGGGCGACCGGCCACACUGGGACUGAGACACGGCCCAGACUCCUACGGGAGGCAGCAGUGGGGAAUCUUGCGCAACGGGCGAAAGCCUGACGCAGCGACGCCGCGUGAGGGAUGACGGCCU
Molecule: ribosomal RNA, 387 nt
Filed under: uncultured bacterium
Lineage: Bacteria
Description: bacterial SSU rRNA
Rfam family: Bacterial small subunit ribosomal RNA
Source: RNAcentral